Molecule: long non-coding RNA, 311 nt
Organism: Stegastes partitus (bicolor damselfish)
Lineage: Eukaryota; Metazoa; Chordata; Actinopteri; Pomacentridae
Exons: 4
Source: RefSeq, a predicted model, not a curated record
AGUUAGCUAUAUAACAUCUGCUGUCAGCUAACAUUUUCAGUGUUAACCAUGUAAGGAGGAAGAGCAACAAGGCACAUCAUGUUUUGCCCUGAAUGUGAACAUCAGGUGGAAAGGUCAUAUAGAUUCUGUCCUAAAUGUGGCUUCAAGUUAUUUCUCUUGACUCAAAAUGAGUCCCAAGAUGUGACCACAUCAGCACAUCAACAGUCAGUCACAGCUGAGGAGACGAAUCGACAGAAUCAAGACCAGAUCAAAAAAGAUGUCAAAGAGACACAAGAAAACAGUCCCCAAACAAAGGGGCAGACGGCCAGUGA